UACGGAGGGAGCUAGCGUUGUUCGGAAUUACUGGGCGUAAAGCGCACGUAGGCGGCUUUGACUAGUGUGAAGUCGGAAGCCGGCACACGAUCGAUGCCUUUAAAACUGCAUCGCUAGUCGUAGUGAGAGGUAGUGGAAUUCCGAGUGUAGAGGUGAAAUUCGUAGAUAUUCGGAAGAACACCAGUGGCGAAGGCGGCACUUACGUGGACAC
This 211-nucleotide ribosomal RNA is filed under the name uncultured bacterium. RNAcentral describes it as "partial 16S ribosomal RNA". It matches the Rfam family "Bacterial small subunit ribosomal RNA", at positions 524 to 744 of the family's 1533-position model. The record is from RNAcentral.